RNAcentral lists this ribosomal RNA (397 nucleotides) under uncultured bacterium. Its description in RNAcentral is "bacterial SSU rRNA". It matches the Rfam family "Bacterial small subunit ribosomal RNA", at positions 29 to 431 of the family's 1533-position model. The record is from RNAcentral.
AUUGAACGCUGGCGGCAUGCCUUACACAUGCAAGUCGAACGGCAGCACGGGAGCAAUCCUGGUGGCGAGUGGCGAACGGGUGAGUAAUAUAUCGGAACGUGCCCAGUCGUGGGGAUAACGCAGCGAAAGCUGUGCUAAUACCGCAUACGAUCUCUGGAUGAAAGCGGGGACUCGCAAGGGCCUCGCGCGAUUGGAGCGGCCGAUAUCAGAUUAGCUAGUUGGCGGGGUAAAGGCCCACCAAGGCGACGAUCUGUAGCUGGUCUGAGAGGACGACCAGCCACACUGGAACUGAGACACGGUCCAGGCUCCUACGGGAGGCAGCAGUGGGGAAUUUUGGACAAUGGGGCAACCCUGAUCCAGCCAUGCCGCGUGCGGGAAGAAGGCCUGGUUGUAACGU